This 480-nucleotide long non-coding RNA is filed under the name Androctonus crassicauda. Lineage: Eukaryota; Metazoa; Arthropoda; Arachnida; Scorpiones; Buthidae. The record is from RNAcentral.
UGCUGGUAUUGGUUUGCUCAACUCUGAGAGGCCUAGGGUAUUAUCCAUCAGUAGUAUAUCACAUGAUGGAUACUAUCCUGGGCUUCUCACUUGGAGUUGAGCAAACCAAUACCAGCACAUUUUACUUCCUGGAUGUACAAGUAGAAGUCGAACAAGGAGAAUAUGUCACCAAAGUAUAUAAAAAGCCCACCUAUAUCCUGGUCCUAAUCCCCACAUGGUCGCAGGACUCUAUGGGCUACAAAAUGGCUGUAUUUAAAGUGCUCUUUAGUAAAAUAUUUACUCAGGUCACUAAAUGGAGUGACAAAAAUUAGAAAAUGGGAUUAUAUUUAUACUUACGGCCAUAAAUAUGGCUAUUUUACCAAGGUUCUGGACAGUAUAUGGAGAAAAGUAUUGAACAAUAUAGAGCGACCUCAGCCAAAGGACCACAGAACACCCAAGCUGCCCCGUCCAUAUAUACAUCGAUCACAUAUUAUAAAACUA